This 582-nucleotide ribosomal RNA is filed under the name uncultured bacterium. RNAcentral describes it as "partial 16S ribosomal RNA". It matches the Rfam family "Bacterial small subunit ribosomal RNA", at positions 355 to 1376 of the family's 1533-position model. The record is from RNAcentral.
UAAGGAAUAUUGGUCAAUGGACGAAAGUCUGAACCAGCCAUGCCGCGUGGAGGAUGAAGGUCCUCUGGAUUGUAAACUUCUUUUAUCUGGGACGAAAAAAGGUCUUUCUAGAUCGUCUGACGGUACCAGAUGAAUAAGCACCGGCUAACUCCGUGCCAGCAGCCGCGGUAAUACGGAGGGUGCAAGCGUUAUCCGGAUUCACUGGGUUUAAAGGGUGCGUAGGUGGGUUGGUAAGUCAGUGGUGAAAUCUUCGAGCUUAACUCGGAAACUGCCAUUGAUACUAUCAGUCUUGAAUAUUGUGGAGGUUAGCGGAAUAUGUCAUGUAGCGGUGAAAUGCUUAGAUAUGACAUAGAACACCAAUUGCGAAGGCAGCUGGCUACACAUAUAUUGACACUGAGGCACGAAAGUGUGGGGAUCAAACAGGAUUAGAUACCCUGGUAGUCCACGCCCUAAACUAUGGAUACUCGACAUACGCGAUACACUGUGUGUGUCUGAGCGAAAAGCAUUAAGUAUCCCCACCUGGGGAAGUACGAUCGCAAGAUUGAAACUUAAAUGAAUUGACGGGGUCAUAGCUGUUUCCUG